AGACCCGAAACCCGGUGAUCUAGCCAUGGGCAGGUUGAAGGUUGGGUAACACUAACUGGAGGACCGAACCGACUAAUGUUGAAAAAUUAGCGGAUGACCUGUGGCUGGGGGUGAAAGGCCAAUCAAACCGGGAGAUAGCUGGUUCUCCCCGAAAGCUAUUUAGGUAGCGCCUCGUGAAUUCAUCUCCGGGGGUAGAGCACUGUUUCGGCUAGGGGGCCAUCCCGGCUUACCAACCCGAUGCAAACUGCGAAUACCGGAGAAUGUUAUCACGGGAGACACACGGCGGGUGCUAACGUCCGUCGUGAAGAGGGAAACAACCCAGACCGCCAGCUAAGGUCCCAAAGUCAUGGUUAAGUGGGAAACGAUGUGGGAAGGCCCAGACAGCCAGGAUGUUGGCUUAGAAGCAGCCAUCAUUUAAAGAAAGCGUAAUAGCUCACUGGUCGAGUCGGCCUGCGCGGAAGAUGUAACGGGGCUAAACCAUGCACCGAAGCUGCGGCAGCGAACGUAUCACCCAAGACAACUUUACGGAGUUGACGAUUGACGGAGCGAAGCGACGUCAAAGCGUUCAUUAAAGUCGAGUUGGCUUAGGGAUACGUUCGUUGGGUAGGGGAGCGUUCUGUAAGCCUGUGAAGGUGUGUCGUGAGGCAUGCUGGAGGUAUCAGAAGUGCGAAUGCUGACAUAAGUAACGAUAAAGCGGGUGAAAAGCCCGCUCGCCGGAAGACCAAGGGUUCCUGUCCAACGUUAAUCGGGGCAGGGUGAGUCGACCCCUAAGGCGAGGCCGAAAGGCGUAGUCGAUGGGAAACGGGUUAAUAUUCCCGUACUUGGUGUUACUGCGAAGGGGGGACGGAGAAGGCUAUGUUGGCCGGGCGACGGUUGUCCCGGUUUAAGCGUGUAGGUGUGUGUUCCAGGUAAAUCCGGUUCACUUUAACACUGAGGCGUGACGACGAGGCACUACGGUGCUGAAGCAACAAAUGCCCUGCUUCCAGGAAAAGCCUCUAAGCAUCAGGUAACACGAAAUCGUACCCCAAACCGACACAGGUGGUCAGGUAGAGAAUACCAAGGCGCUUGAGAGAACUCGGGUGAAGGAACUAGGCAAAAUGGUGCCGUAACUUCGGGAGAAGGCACGCUGACACGUAGGUGAAGUGAUUUACUCAUGGAGCUGAAGUCAGUCGAAGAUACCAGCUGGCUGCAACUGUUUAUUAAAAACACAGCACUGUGCAAACACGAAAGUGGACGUAUACGGUGUGACGCCUGCCCGGUGCCGGAAGGUUAAUUGAUGGGGUCAGCGUAAGCGAAGCUCCUGAUCGAAGCCCCGG
This 1316-nucleotide ribosomal RNA is filed under the name Salmonella enterica. Its description in RNAcentral is "partial 23S ribosomal RNA". It matches the Rfam family "Bacterial large subunit ribosomal RNA", at positions 711 to 1923 of the family's 2925-position model. The record is from RNAcentral. RNAcentral also lists the same sequence under 1 other name. Lineage: Bacteria; Pseudomonadati; Pseudomonadota; Gammaproteobacteria; Enterobacterales; Enterobacteriaceae.